RNAcentral lists this ribosomal RNA (497 nucleotides) under uncultured bacterium. RNAcentral's name for it is "partial 16S ribosomal RNA". It matches the Rfam family "Bacterial small subunit ribosomal RNA", at positions 28 to 507 of the family's 1533-position model. The record is from RNAcentral.
GAUGAACGCUGGCGGCGUGCCUAAUACAUGCAAGUCGAGCGAACAGACGAGGAGCUUGCUCCUCUGACGUUAGCGGCGGACGGGUGAGUAACACGUGGAUAACCUACCUAUAAGACUGGGAUAACUUCGGGAAACCGGAGCUAAUACCGGAUAAUAUAUUGAACCGCAUGGUUCAAUAGUGAAAGACGGUUUUGCUGUCACUUAUAGAUGGAUCCGCGCCGCAUUAGCUAGUUGGUAAGGUAACGGCUUACCAAGGCGACGAUGCGUAGCCGAGCUGAGGGGGUGAUCGGCCACACUGGAACUGAGACACGGUCCAGGCUCCUACGGGAGGCAGCAGUAGGGAAUCUUCCGCAAUGGGCGAAAGCCUGACGGAGCAACGCCGCGUGAGUGAUGAAGGUCUUCGGAUCGUAAAACUCUGUUAUUAGGGAAGAACAAAUGUGUAAGUAACUAUGCACGUCUUGACGGUACCUAAUCAGAAAGCCACGGCUAACUACGUG